RNAcentral lists this ribosomal RNA (335 nucleotides) under uncultured bacterium. Its description in RNAcentral is "partial 16S ribosomal RNA". It matches the Rfam family "Bacterial small subunit ribosomal RNA", at positions 99 to 437 of the family's 1533-position model. The record is from RNAcentral.
AAAAAAAAAGAGGAAUACAUCGGAAUCUACUUUUUCGUGGGGGAUAACGUAUGGAAACUUACGCUAAUACCGCAUACGACCUACGGGUGAAAGCAGGGGAUCUUCGGACCUUUCGCGAUUGAAUGAGCCGAUGUCGGAUUAGCUAGUUGGAGGGGUAAAGGCCCACCAAGGCGACGAUCCGUAGCUGGUCUGAGAGGAUGAUCAGCCACACUGGAACUGAGACACGGUCCAGACUCCAACGGAAGGCAGCAGUGGGGAAUAUUGGACAAUGGGCGCAAACCUGAUCCAGCCAUACCGCGUGGGUGAAGAAGGCCUUUGGUUUUUUUAAUGCUACU